RNAcentral lists this small RNA (28 nucleotides) under Bombyx mori (domestic silkworm). Its description in RNAcentral is "piRNA piR-bmo-1303839". The record is from RNAcentral. Lineage: Eukaryota; Metazoa; Arthropoda; Insecta; Lepidoptera; Bombycidae.
UAGGAUGAACGACCGCCACAAGUCUAAA